UGUAAAGCCUGAAACCUCCAGGGAAAGGCAUGGAGGUUUGAGGCAUGAAGACUUUAAACAGCCAAAUUAUGUCUUGGGCACAGAUUCCAUUAUUUAGCGGUAACGUGUUUGUCUAGCUUUCUGUGAAAAGACUUGUGUCACUUUGAGAGAGCUACAGAUGUGAUCAGUGGAACUCUGUCCCCAGGGAGUCAAGCUUGAAAGAAAG
This is a long non-coding RNA of Lemur catta (Ring-tailed lemur), 205 nucleotides long. RefSeq lists it as uncharacterized. The transcript is spliced from 3 exons. NCBI's taxonomy places the organism in Eukaryota, Metazoa, Chordata, Mammalia, Primates, Lemuridae. The record is from RefSeq and is a predicted model, not a curated record.